This 2885-nucleotide ribosomal RNA is filed under the name Clostridioides difficile CF5. RNAcentral's name for it is "bacterial LSU rRNA". It matches the Rfam family "Bacterial large subunit ribosomal RNA". The record is from RNAcentral. Lineage: Bacteria; Bacillati; Bacillota; Clostridia; Peptostreptococcales; Peptostreptococcaceae.
UUAAGGGUGCAGGGCGGAUGCCUUGGCACUAGGAGCCGAUGAAGGACGUGAUAAGCUGCGAUAAGCUUCGGGGAGUUGCACGUAAACUUUGAUCCGAAGAUUUCCGAAUGAGGAAACUCACUUAGAGUAAUGUCUAAGUAUCAUUAAGUGAAUACAUAGCUUAAUGAGGGGAACUCAGGGAACUGAAACAUCUAAGUACCUGAAGGAAGAGAAAGAAAUUCGAUUCCGUAAGUAGCGGCGAGCGAACGCGGAUUAGCCCAAACCAAUAAAGUUUUCUUUGUUGGGGUUGCGGACAUAUCAUAACGAAGAGGUAUCGUAAUUGAAGAGGUUUGGAAAGACCCACCACAGAAGGUAAUAGUCCUGUAUGUUAAACGAGAAGACUUCAGAUAUGAUCCAGAGUACCACGGGACACGUGAAACCCUGUGGGAAGCAGGAGGGACCACCCUCCAAGGCUAAAUACUACCUAGUGACCGAUAGCGUAUAGUACCGUGAGGGAAAGGUGAAAAGAACCCCGGGAGGGGAGUGAAAUAGAACCUGAAACCCUGCACUUACAAGCUGUGGAAGCACAUUUCUUGUGUGACCGCGUACUUUUUGUAGAACGGGCCAACGAGUUACGUUAAGUAGCAAGGUUAAGCACUUAAGGUGCGGAGCCGUAGCGAAAGCGAGUUUUAACUGAGCGUUCAGUUACUUGACGUAGACCCGAAACCGGGCGACCUACCCAUGAGCAGGAUGAAGCGAAAGUAAAAUUUCGUGGAGGUCCGAACCCACGAGCGUUGAAAAGCUCGGGGAUGACUUGUGGGUAGCGGUGAAAUUCCAAUCGAGCCCGGAGAUAGCUGGUUCUCCCCGAAAUAGCUUUAGGGCUAGCCUCAAGGUGAGAGAUACGGAGGUAGAGCACUGAAUGUCCUAGGGGGUAUUGCACCUACCGAAGACUAUCAAACUCCGAAUGCCGUCAUCUUAUACUUGGGAGUCAGACUGUGGGUGAUAAGAUUCAUAGUCGAAAGGGCAACAGCCCAGAUCGUCAGCUAAGGUCCCUAAAUGUAAGUUAAGUGGUAAAGGAUGUGGGAUUGCACAGACAACCAGGAUGUUGGCUUAGAAGCAGCCACUCAUUCAAAGAGUGCGUAAUAGCUCACUGGUCGAGUGAUCCUGCGCCGAAGAUUUCCGGGGCUAAAACUUACUACCGAAGCUACGGCAUCAUUAUGAUGGGUAGGGGAGCUUCCCAUACGGGUUGAAGCAUGACCGUAAGGACAUGUGGACAGUAUGGGAGUGAGAAUGUUGGCAUGAGUAGCGAGAUGUGGGUGAGAAUCCCACAGGCCGUAAACCCAAGGUUUCCAGGGGAAGGUUCGUCCGCCCUGGGUUAGUCGGGACCUAAGCUGAGGCCGAAAGGCGUAGGUGAUGGACAACAGGUUGAUAUUCCUGUACUACCGAUAACCGUUUGAGAGAAGGGAUGACACAGUAGGAUAAGCUAAGCACACUGUUGGUUAUGUGUGCCCAAGCAUUGAGGCAGUCAAAGCAGGCAAAUCCGCUUUGAUAAUGCUGGGAUGUGAUGGGGAGCGAAAUUUAGUAGCGAAGUAGCUGAUUUCACACUGUCAAGAAAAGUCUCUAUCGAGGUUAAAGGUACCCGUACCGCAAACCGACACAGGUGGGUGAGGAGAGUAUCCUAAGGCCAGCGAGAGAACUGUUGUUAAGGAACUCGGCAAAAUGACCCCGUAACUUAGGGAUAAGGGGUGCCACCAUCCGGUGGCCGCAGAGAAUAGGCCCAAGCGACUGUUUACCAAAAACAUAGGUUUCUGCUAAGUCGCAAGACGAUGUAUAGGAGCUGACGCCUGCCCGGUGCUGGAAGGUUAAGGGGAUCUGUUAGAGCAAUCGAAGCAGUGAACUUAAGCCCCAGUAAACGGCGGCCGUAACUAUAACGGUCCUAAGGUAGCGAAAUUCCUUGUCGGGUAAGUUCCGACCCGCACGAAAGGCGUAACGAUUUGGGCACUGUCUCAACAACAGACUCGGUGAAAUUGUAAUUCCGGUGAAGAUGCCGGAUACCUGCGACAGGACGGAAAGACCCCAUGGAGCUUUACUGUAGCUUGACAUUGGGUCUUGGUACUACAUGUACAGGAUAGGUGGGAGGCUUUGAAACCAGGACGCCAGUUUUGGCGGAGCCAUCCUUGGGAUACCACCCUUGUAGUACUGGGACUCUAACCAUAGGCCAUGAAUCUGGUCUUGGGACACUGUCAGGUGGGCAGUUUGACUGGGGCGGUCGCCUCCCAAAAGGUAACGGAGGCGCUCAAAGGUUCUCUCAGUACGGUCGGAAAUCGUACGUAGAGUGUAAAGGCAAAAGAGAGCUUGAUUGCAAGACAUACAGGUCGAGCAAGGAUGAAAAUCGGACUUAGUGAUCCGGUGGUUCUGCGUGGAAGGGCCAUCGCUCAACGGAUAAAAGCUACCCUGGGGAUAACAGGCUUAUCUCCCCCAAGAGUCCACAUCGACGGGGAGGUUUGGCACCUCGAUGUCGGCUCAUCACAUCCUGGGGCUGUAGUAGGUCCCAAGGGUUGGGCUGUUCGCCCAUUAAAGUGGUACGCGAGCUGGGUUCAGAACGUCGUGAGACAGUUCGGUCCCUAUCCGUCGCAGGCGUAGGAAAUUUGAGAAGACCUGUCCUUAGUACGAGAGGACCGGGAUGGACGUACCUCUGGUGUACCAGUUGUUCUGCCAAGGGCAUGGCUGGGUAGCUAUGUACGGAAUGGAUAAGCGCUGAAAGCAUCUAAGCGCGAAGCCAACUUCAAGAUAAGAUUUCCCACCGCAAGGGUAAGACCCCAGAAAGACUAUCUGGUUGAUAGGUCGAAGGUGUAAGUGCAGCAAUGUAUUUAGCUUAUCGAUACUAAUAGGUCGAGGACUUGACC